CAGAGACUGAAGAUUUAGGAAUGUUGAGAUGAAAAAGAAGAUUGACUUCUUUUAUUAGAAGAUCUACUUUAGAACAGGGGGGGCAACAUGAUUCACAGGUUAAAUUUUGGCUGAGGGAACAGAAUAUGGAUGUUGCUGCUGUAGGAGCAUUUGGAGCAGAGCUGUACGUACCUGCCCGUACCAGCUGUAUUCCAGCAUCGUAACCUCGGCCAACACCAGGUCUUUGGAAACUCAGAGCAAAUUCGUGGAUACCAACUGUUUCAUGGUUCAGUGUGAAUGACUGCACAGAAAACUAAAUUUUAAGACAUUGAAAAGCAAAAUGAAGAGGGAUCAGGCUGGAGUAGCAGCAAAGAAAAUGUACAGUCUGCUACCAUCAACUUUUUGAAAAUACAAGUCUCAAAGGUAAGGGAGUAGCAGGAUUUCAUGCACAAACUUUUUUCCUGAUUACCAUUCUCAUAGAAACAAAUUUUUGAAUAAAAUC
This 481-nucleotide long non-coding RNA is filed under the name Zonotrichia albicollis (white-throated sparrow). RNAcentral's name for it is "lncRNA (ENSZALG00000007204.1)". The record is from RNAcentral. Lineage: Eukaryota; Metazoa; Chordata; Aves; Passeriformes; Passerellidae.